GACGAACGCUGGCGGCGUGCUUAACACAUGCAAGUCGAACGGAAAGGCCCUGCUUUUGUGGGGUGCUCGAGUGGCGAACGGGUGAGUAACACGUGAGUAACCUGCUCUUGACUUUGGGAUAACUUCAGGAAACUGGGGCUAAUACCGGAUAGGAGCUCCUGCUGCAGGGUGGGGGUUGGAAAGUUUCGGCGGGUGGGGAUGGACUCGCGGCUUAUCAGCUUGUUGGUGGGGUAGUGGCUUACCAAGGCUUUGACGGGUAGCCGGCCUGGGAGGGUGACCGGCCACAUUGGGCCUGCGAUACGGCCCAGACUCCUACGGGAGGCAGCAGUGGGGAAUAUUGCACAAUGGGCGGAAGCCUGAUGCAGCAACGCCGCGUGCGGGAUGACGGCCUUCGGGUUGUAAACCGCUUUCGCCUGUGACGAAGCGUGAGUGACGGUAAUGGGUAAAGAAGCACCGGCUAACUACGUG
Molecule: ribosomal RNA, 468 nt
Filed under: uncultured bacterium
Lineage: Bacteria
Description: partial 16S ribosomal RNA
Rfam family: Bacterial small subunit ribosomal RNA
Source: RNAcentral